This 500-nucleotide ribosomal RNA is filed under the name uncultured bacterium. RNAcentral's name for it is "bacterial SSU rRNA". It matches the Rfam family "Bacterial small subunit ribosomal RNA", at positions 1012 to 1512 of the family's 1533-position model. The record is from RNAcentral.
UUUCAUUAGAGAGAGCCCGGAGACAGGUGCUGCAUGGCUGUCGUCAGCUCGUGUCGUGAGAUGUUGGGUUAAGUCCCGCAACGAGCGCAACCCUCGCCUUUAGUUGCCAGCAGUUCGGCUGGGCACUCUAAAGGGACUGCCGGUGUCAAACCGGAGGAAGGUGGGGAUGACGUCAAGUCCUCAUGGCCUUUAUGGCUAGGGCUACACACGUAAUACAAUGGUCGGUACAGAGGGUCGCCAACCCGCGAGGGGGAGCCAAUCUCAGGAAGCCGAUCGUAGUCCGGAUUGUUCUCUGCAACUCGAGAGCAUGAAGUCGGAAUCGCUAGUAAUCGCGGAUCAGCAUGUCGCGGUGAAUACGUUCCCGGGUCUUGUACACACCGCCCGUCACACCAUGGGAGCGGGUUCUGCCAGAAGUAGCUAGUCUAACCGUAAGGGGGACGGUUACCACGGCAGGGUUCGUGACUGGGGUGAAGUCGUAACAAGGUAGCCGUAUCGGAAGG